RNAcentral lists this ribosomal RNA (497 nucleotides) under uncultured bacterium. Its description in RNAcentral is "partial 16S ribosomal RNA". It matches the Rfam family "Bacterial small subunit ribosomal RNA", at positions 28 to 507 of the family's 1533-position model. The record is from RNAcentral.
GAUGAACGCUGGCGGCGUGCCUAAUACAUGCAAGUCGAGCGAACGGACGAGAAGCUUGCUUCUCUGAUGUUAGCGGCGGACGGGUGAGUAACACGUGGAUAACCUACCUAUAAGACUGGGAUAACUUCGGGAAACCGGAGCUAAUACCGGAUGAUAUUUUGAACCGCAUGGUUCAAAAGUGAAAGACGGUCUUGCUGUCACUUAUAGAUGGAUCCGCGCUGCAUUAGCUAGUUGGUAAGGUAACGGCUUACCAAGGCAACGAUGCAUAGCCGACCUGAGAGUGUGAUCGGCCACACUGGAACUGAGACACGGUCCAGACUCCUACGGGAGGCAGCAGUAGGAAAUCUGCCGCAAUAGGCGAAAGCCUGACGGAGCAACGCCGCGUGAGUGAUGAAGGUCUUCGGAUCGUAAAACUCUGUUAUUAGGGAAGAACAUAUGUGUAAGUAACUGUGAACAUCUUGACGGUACCUAGUCAGAAAGCCACGGCUAACUACGUG